Molecule: ribosomal RNA, 357 nt
Filed under: uncultured bacterium
Lineage: Bacteria
Description: bacterial SSU rRNA
Rfam family: Bacterial small subunit ribosomal RNA
Source: RNAcentral
ACCAUUCCUUCGGGAAUGGGGACAGCGGCGAACGGGUGAGUAACACGUGGGUAAUCUGCCCUCGAUUCUGGGAUAGCCCGGGGAAACCCGGAUUAAUACCGGAUAGCCUUUCGAGCUUUCGAGCUCGGAAGAAAAGGUAGCUUCGGCCUCCGAUCGAGGAUGAGCCCGCGGCGGAUUAGCUUGUUGGUGGGGUAAUGGCCUACCAAGGCAACGAUCCGUAGCUGGUCUGAGAGGACGAUCAGCCACACUGGGACUGAGACACGGCCCAGACUCCUACGGGAGGCAGCAGUGGGGAAUCUUGCGCAAUGGGCGAAAGCCUGACGCAGCGACGCCGCGUGGGGGAAGAAGGCCUUCGGG